UCAAACGAGGAAAGGCUUACGGUGGAUACCUAAGCACCUAGAGAUGAGGAAGGAAUGCUUUGGGGAGUUGAAAAUAAGCGUAGAUCCGGAGAUUCCCGAAUAGGUCAACCUUUCGAACUGCUGCUGAAUCCAUGGAAAGACAAGAGACAACCUGGCAAACUGAAACAUCUUAGUAGCCAGAGGAAAAGAAAGCAAAACCGAUUCCCGUAGUAGCGGCAAGCGAAAUGGGAGCAGCCUAAACCGUGAAAACGGGGUUGUGAGAGAGCAAUAAAAGCGUAGUGCUACUAAGCGAAGCGGUGAAGUACCGAACCCUAGAUGGCAAUAGUCUAGUCGCCGAAAGCAUCACUAGCUUACGCUUUGACCCAAGUAGCAUGGGGCACGUGAAAUCUCGUCUGAAUCAGCAAGGACCACUUUGCAAGGCUAAAUACUCUUGUGUGACCGAUAACGAAGUAGUACCGUGAGGGAAGGGUAAAAACAACCCUCGUUAAGGAGUGAAAUAGAACAUGAAACCGUAAGCUCCCAAGCAGUGAGAGGAGCCCAGGGCACUGACCGUGUGCCUGUUGAAGAAUGAGCCAUCCACUCAUAGGUAGUGGCUUGGUUAAGGGAACCCACCGGACCUGUAGCGAAAGCGAGUCUUCAUAGGACAAUUGUCACUGCUUAUGGACCCGAACUUGGGUGAUUUAUCCAUGACUAGGAUGAAGCUUGAGUGAAACUAAGUGGAGGUCCGAACCGAUUGAUGUUGAAGAAUCAGCGGAUGAGUUGUGGUUAGGGGUGAAAUGCCACUCGAACCUAAAGCUAGUUGGUUCUCCCCGAAAUGCGUUGAGGUGCAGCAGUUUAUUGGACAUCUAGGGGUAAGGCAUUAUUUUGGUACGGGCCGUGAGAGCGGUACCAAAUCGAAGCAAACUCUAAAUACCUGAUAUGACCUCAAAAUAACAGGGGUCGAGGUCAGCCAGUGAGACGAUGGGGGAUAAGCUUUAUCAUCGAGAGGGAAACAGCCCGGAUCACCAAUUAAGGCCCCUAAAUGACCGCUCAGUGAUAAAAGGAGGUAAGGGAGCAGAGACAGCCAGGAGGUUUUCCUAGAAGCAACCACCAUUGAAAGAGUGCAUAAUAGCUCACUGAUCGAGCGCUCUUACACCAAAGAUGAACGGGGCUAAGCGAUCUGUCGAAGCUGUGAGAUGUAAAAAUGAAUCGGUAGGGGAGCGUUCUGCCUUAAAGGGAAGCACUCGCGUGAGCGGGAGUAGACGAAGCAGAAGCGAGAAUGUCGGCUUGAGUAACGCAAACAUUGGUGAGAAUCUAAUGCUUUGAAAACCCAAGGGUUCCUCCGUAAGGUUCGUCCACGGAGGGUGAGUCAGGGCUUAAGAUCAAGCCGAAAGGCGUAGUCGAUGGACUACAGGUGAAUAUUCCUGUACUACCCCUUAUUGGUCCCGAGGGACAGAGGAGGCUAGGUUAGCUGAAAGAUGGUUAUUGGUUUAAGGACGCAAGGUGCCCCUGCUUUUUCAGGGUAAUAAGAGGUAGAGAAAUUGCCCCGAGCCAAUGUUCGAGUACCAGGCACUACGGCACUAAAGUAACCCAUGCUAUACUCUUAGGAAAAGCUCGAAUGACCUUCAACAAAAGGGUACCUGUACUCGAAACCGACAUAGGUGGGUAAGUAGAGAAUACCUAGGGGUGCGAGAUAACUCUCUCUAAGGAACUCGGUAAAAUAGCCUCGUAACUUCGAGAGAAGGGGUGCCUUCUCACAAAGGAGGUCGUAGUGAGCAGGCCCGAGCGACUGUUUACCAAAAACACAGGUCUCUGUAAAGUCGUAAGACCAUGUAUUGGGGCUGAUGCCUGCCCAGUGCCAGAAGGUCAAGGAAGUUGUAACCUGAUGAUAGGAGAGUCGAUGACCGAAGCCUCGGUGAACGGCGGGCGUAACUAUAACGGUCUUAAGGUAGCGAAAUUCUUUAUCGGGUAAGUUUUGACCCGCACGAAAGGCGUAACGAUCUGGGCACUGUCUCGGAGAGAGGCUCGGUGAAAUAGACAUGUCUGUGAAAAUGCAGACUACCCGCACCUAGACAGAAAGACCUUAUGAAGCUUCACUGUUCCCUGGGAUUGGCUUUGGGCUUUUCCUACGCAGCUUAGGUGGAAGGUGAAGAAGGCCUCCUUCCGGGGGGCCCGAGCCAUCAGUGAGAUACCACUCUGGAAGAGCUAGAAUUCUAACAUUGUGUUAGGACCUAAGGGCCAAGGGACAGUCUCAGGUAGACAGUUUCUAUGGGGCGUAAGACUCCCAAAAGGUAACGGAGGCGUGCAAAGGUUUUCUCGGGCCGGACGGAGAUUGGCCCUCGGGUGUAAAGGUAAAAGGGAGCUUGACUACAAGACCCAUCCGUCGAGUAGGGACGAAAGUCGGCCUUAGUGAUCCGACGGUGCCGAGUGGAAGGGUCGUCGCUCAACGGAUAAAAGUUACUCUAGGGAUAACAGGCUGAUCUUCCCCAAAAGCUCACAUCGAUGGGAAGGUUUGGACCUUGAUGUCAGCUCUUCGCCACCUAGGGUUGUAGUAUGUUCCAAUGGUUGGGUUGUUCGCCAAUUAAAGCAGUAUGUGAGCUGGGUUCAAAACAUCGUGAGAUAGUAGGACCGGGAAGGACGCACCUCUAGUGUUCCAGUUAUCGUGCCCACGGUAAACGCUGGGUAGCCAAGUACGGAGCGGAUAACUAUUGAAAGCAUCUAAGUAGUAAGCCCACCCCAAGAUGAGUGCACUCUUAUUCCGACUUCCUCAGAGCCUUCGGUAGCACAGCCGAGACGGCAAGGGGUUCUCUGUCCCUGCGGGGAUCGAGUGACAGAAGUUUUGAGAAUUCAAGAGAAGGUCACGGCGAGACGAGCCGUUUAUCAUUACGAUAGGUGUCAAGUGGAAGUGCAGUGAUGUAUGCAGCUGAGGCAUCCUAACAGACCGGUAGACUUGAACCU
RNAcentral lists this ribosomal RNA (2937 nucleotides) under Kokia drynarioides. RNAcentral's name for it is "bacterial LSU rRNA". It matches the Rfam family "Bacterial large subunit ribosomal RNA". Lineage: Eukaryota; Viridiplantae; Streptophyta; Magnoliopsida; Malvales; Malvaceae. The record is from RNAcentral.